GGUAACAGGGAGCUUGCUCCGCUGACGACCGGCGCACGGGUGCGCACCGCGUAUGGAACCUGCCUUUUACAGGGGAAUAGCCCAGGGAAACUUGGAUUAAUGCCCCGUGGCACCACGGCCCGGCAUCGGGAUGUGGUUAAAGCCUUCGGGCGGUAGAAGAUGGCCAUGCGUCCCAUUAGCUGGAUGGUAAGGUAACGGCUUACCAUGGCUACGAUGGGUAGGGGCCCUGAGAGGGGGAUCCCCCACACUGGUACUGAGACACGGACCAGACUCCUACGGGAGGCAGCAGUGAGGAAUAUUGGACAAUGGGCGAGGGCCUGAUCCAGCCAUGCCGCGUGCAGGAAGAAUGCCCUAUGGGUAGUAAACUGCUUUUAUACGGGAAGAAAAAGGGGCACGUGUGCCCCACUGACGGUACCGUAAGAAUAAGGACCGGCUAACUCCGUGCCAGCAGCCGCGGUAAUACGGAGGGUCCGAGCGUUAUCCGGAAUUAUUGGGUUUAAAGGGUCCGUAGGCGGGCCGGUAAGUCAGGGGUGAAAGUCUGUAGCUCAACUAUAGAAUUGCCUUUGAUACUGCCGGUCUUGAGUUAUGGUGAAGUUGCCGGAAUAUGUGGUGUAGCGGUGAAAUGCAUAGAUAUCACAUAGAACACCGAUUGCGAAAGGCAGGUGACUAACCAUAUACUGACGCUGAUGGACGAAAGCGUGGGGAGCGAACAGGAUUAGAUACCCUGGUAGUCCACGCCGUAACGAUGGAUACUAGCUGUCCGGUCCUUGAGCCUGGGCGGCCAAGCGAAAGUGAUAGUA
RNAcentral lists this ribosomal RNA (800 nucleotides) under Maribacter sp. RNAcentral's name for it is "bacterial SSU rRNA". It matches the Rfam family "Bacterial small subunit ribosomal RNA", at positions 67 to 866 of the family's 1533-position model. Lineage: Bacteria; Pseudomonadati; Bacteroidota; Flavobacteriia; Flavobacteriales; Flavobacteriaceae. The record is from RNAcentral.